GCCAGGCAUGGUGGCUCAUGCCUGUAAUCCCAACACUGGGAGGCCGAGAUGGGAGGAUUACUUGAGGUCAGGAGUUCAAGACCAGCCUGGCCAAUAUGGUGAAACCCCAUCUCUA
This is an unclassified non-coding RNA of Papio anubis (olive baboon), 115 nucleotides long. It matches the Rfam family "Metazoan signal recognition particle RNA". From Rfam's summary of the family: The signal recognition particle (SRP) is a universally conserved ribonucleoprotein. It is involved in the co-translational targeting of proteins to membranes. The eukaryotic SRP consists of a 300-nucleotide 7S RNA and six proteins: SRPs 72, 68, 54, 19, 14, and 9. Lineage: Eukaryota; Metazoa; Chordata; Mammalia; Primates; Cercopithecidae. The record is from Ensembl.